This 253-nucleotide ribosomal RNA is filed under the name uncultured bacterium. RNAcentral describes it as "partial 16S ribosomal RNA". It matches the Rfam family "Bacterial small subunit ribosomal RNA", at positions 524 to 776 of the family's 1533-position model. The record is from RNAcentral.
UACAGAGGGUGCGAGCGUUGUUCGGAAUUAUUGGGCGUAAAGCGCGUGUAGGCGGCUUUGCAAGUCGGGUGUGAAAUCCCUCAGCUUAACUGAGGAAGUGCGCCCGAAACUGCCGAGCUUGAGUACCGGAGAGGAAGGCGGAAUUCUCGGUGUAGAGGUGAAAUUCGUAGAUAUCGAGAGGAACACCGGUGGCGAAGGCGGCCUUCUGGACAGUGACUGACGCUGAGACGCGAAAGCGUGGGGAGCAAACAGG